GAAUAGCCCUGAUUGAAAUGAAAAUCCUCUUGAUUCUUUUAAAAGUUACACUACAAAAGAUUGCAAUGGAAAGCAGGAGGUAAA
RNAcentral lists this small RNA (84 nucleotides) under Flavobacterium indicum GPTSA100-9 = DSM 17447. RNAcentral's name for it is "Flavo-1 RNA". It matches the Rfam family "Flavo-1 RNA". Lineage: Bacteria; Pseudomonadati; Bacteroidota; Flavobacteriia; Flavobacteriales; Flavobacteriaceae. The record is from Rfam by way of RNAcentral.